UACGGAGGGUGCAAGCGUUAUCCGGAUUCACUGGGUUUAAAGGGUGCGUAGGUGGGCAGGUAAGUCCGUGGUGAAAUCCCUGAGCUUAACUCGGGAACUGCCAUGGAUACUAUUUGUCUUGAAUAUUGUGGAGGUAAGCGGAAUAUGUCAUGUAGCGGUGAAAUGCUUAGAUAUGACAUAGAACACCAAUUGCGAAGGCAGCUUACUACACAGUUAUUGACACUGAGGCACGAAAGCGUGGGGAUCGAACAGG
This 253-nucleotide ribosomal RNA is filed under the name uncultured bacterium. Its description in RNAcentral is "partial 16S ribosomal RNA". It matches the Rfam family "Bacterial small subunit ribosomal RNA", at positions 524 to 776 of the family's 1533-position model. The record is from RNAcentral.